GAUGAACGCUGGCGGCGUGCCUAAUACAUGCAAGUCGAGCGAACGGACGAGAAGCUUGCUUCUCUGAUGUUAGCGGCGGACGGGUGAGUAACACGUGGAUAACCUACCUAUAAGACUGGGAUAACUUCGGGAAACCGGAGCUAAUACCGGAUAAUAUUUUGAACCGCAUGGUUCAAAAGUGAAAGACGGUCUUGCUGUCACUUAUAGAUGGAUCCGCGCUGCAUUAGCUAGUUGGUAAGGUAACGGCUUACCAAGGCAGCGAUGCAUAGCCGACCUGAGAGGGUGAUCGGCCACACUGGAACUGAGACACGGUCCAGACUCCUACGGGAGGCAGCAGUAGGGAAUCUUCCGCAAUGGGCGAAAGCCUGACGGAGCAACGCCGCGUGAGUGAUGAAGGUCUUCGGAUCGUAAAACUCUGUUAUUAGGGAAGAACAUAUGUGUAAGUAACUGUGCACAGCUUGACGGUACCUAAUCAGAAAGCCACGGCUAACUACGUG
RNAcentral lists this ribosomal RNA (497 nucleotides) under uncultured bacterium. RNAcentral's name for it is "partial 16S ribosomal RNA". It matches the Rfam family "Bacterial small subunit ribosomal RNA", at positions 28 to 507 of the family's 1533-position model. The record is from RNAcentral.